Molecule: ribosomal RNA, 254 nt
Filed under: uncultured bacterium
Lineage: Bacteria
Description: partial 16S ribosomal RNA
Rfam family: Bacterial small subunit ribosomal RNA
Source: RNAcentral
UACAGGGGGUGCAAACGUUGCUCGGAAUCAUUGGGCGUAAAGCGCACGUAGGCGGUCUGUUAUGUCGGAUGUGAAAGCCCUCGGCUCAACUGAGGAAGUGCAUCCGAAACUGGCAGGCUAGAGUACUAAAGAGAGUCGCGGAAUUCCCGGUGUAGAGGUGAAAUUCGUAGAUAUCGGGAGGAACACCGGUGGCGAAGGCGGCGACCUGGGUAGAUACUGACGCUGAGGUGCGAAAGCGUGGGGAGCAAACAGGG